GAACAAUGAUGAUAUCUCUAAGGCUUGUUUCUCAAAACAUUCGCAGUGGCCGUCUAAGAGCUUUCGCCUUCGCCGGGCUUGAGAGCUAUUGCUGCUUUAUCCUUCCUUGGAUGUCUGAGCUC
Non-coding RNA from Cucumis melo (muskmelon), 122 nucleotides. The record is from Rfam. Lineage: Eukaryota; Viridiplantae; Streptophyta; Magnoliopsida; Cucurbitales; Cucurbitaceae.